RNAcentral lists this transfer RNA (69 nucleotides) under Marmota marmota marmota (Alpine marmot). It matches the Rfam family "tRNA". From Rfam's summary of the family: Transfer RNA (tRNA) molecules are approximately 80 nucleotides in length. RNAcentral also lists the same sequence under 1 other name. The record is from Rfam by way of RNAcentral. Lineage: Eukaryota; Metazoa; Chordata; Mammalia; Rodentia; Sciuridae.
GGAGUUGUGGCUAACAGGUAGAGCACUUGCCUAGCACGUAUGAGGCACUGAGUUCAAUCCUCGGCACCA